GGGUAAGGACGACCUUGCCCGGCUUUUUUCUUGCGGGGACGACCCCG
Molecule: non-coding RNA, 47 nt
Filed under: Ramlibacter tataouinensis
Lineage: Bacteria; Pseudomonadati; Pseudomonadota; Betaproteobacteria; Burkholderiales; Comamonadaceae
Description: Guanidine-II sequence
Rfam family: Guanidine-II riboswitch aptamer (mini-ykkC)
About the family: Simpler in structure and has fewer highly conserved nucleotide positions than the ykkC-yxkD leader. Despite this each of its two stem-loop structures directly bind free guanidine.
Source: Rfam by way of RNAcentral